RNAcentral lists this long non-coding RNA (2861 nucleotides) under Capsicum annuum. RNAcentral describes it as "long non-coding RNA (CANN_LNC004094)". The record is from RNAcentral. Lineage: Eukaryota; Viridiplantae; Streptophyta; Magnoliopsida; Solanales; Solanaceae.
GCCUUCCACAUCUAGUACUACUGUACUAGUAUAUUCCUUUCUCUCAAUUCAAGUGUUUUAUAUAUUUCCUUCGAAUAAUUUCAUAUAACUGGAUUGGUGAUCUCACAUGCAUUUUUCUGCGCCUGGAUACAAUUAAGACCUAUUUAUUAGGAAAAGAAAACAUUUAAGAUAAUUAAGAGUCCACUUCCCUAAAAAGAAACUCUCUUUUUUCUACAUGGUUCAAUCAACUUUCAGUACUCUCUCUAUUCCAUAUUAAGUGAACCAUUGAAAUUUUUUAUUAGAGUUCAAAAUAUGUUAAUUUUUUAAUGUUCAAGGGAAUUGCUUACACUUGUUUCAGUAUCUACCUUUCUUUAAUGAGGUUCUUAUUUAAUUACUUUAUAUUUUUUAAAAGAAUAAUUUGAAAAUAAUUAAAAAAAGUAAUAAUAGAAAAUAAUAUGUAAGGAAUAAAAUAUUUGUAAAGAGUAUGGAGAAUUGCGAAAGUAAAAUGAACUCAUAACCGUAUAAGUGAUUCCAAAAGGGGUGUCGUGGCAGUUUAUGAGCCAAGUGAAAGGCACAUGAGGAGCACGUGAGCCAGCUGUAGAAGUUCACUUGGGCAGUUAAAAGAUGAACGGUGUAGAUUAAAUCAAUCUAAAGGAAAUAAUCAGACAAUGGAGAGGCGCCCAGUCAACUAUAACUACAAAAAAGAGAGUAACGAACUCAGUUUUGGACUGGUAUUCCUUUACUCAAAUUCUCUCUUCUUCAUCUUCUUCUACCUAAUUCUCUCCUACAAUUAUUCUAACAUUCUGAACUUCGCCAUUACAUAAUCGGAGCUAGGCCUUGGAGCUUUCUGGGAAUCCAAUUGUAAUAGUUACUUGAAUUCUUUCCAGUUCGGUUGUAACUGCCAGUUGAUUCUUAAUAAAAUUCGGUCCCAAUUCAGCAUUCGAAUUCAUUUGUUUUUCAUAAAUCGAUUGGGUCUAUUACAAAGUGGUAUCAGAGCCACCCAUCACCCUUCGCGCCCACUGUACCUGGGAUGGUGACGUCGGUAUGGCAGUGUUCGACCGGGGCUAGCAAUGUUUAGCGCACAACCAUUGAGGCACCUGGGCACCUGACUCGAAAAGGGCUACCUGAGAACGAGUUACCUACAUAAGUAAAGUGAAAGCUACCCAGAGUGGAGCCGUCGAGGACGACAGAUGCGGAGCGUGGUAUUUGUUAUGGUCCAUUUCAAAGUACCACAUCGGUACUACAAAGUAUUGGUGUGGGGUAUUUAUAGCCUUGGGCUCUCCAACCUUAAUAGCUAGCUUUUGGGGGUACGGUUCUCCUAAGGUUAUAAAAUUGGUAUCAGAGCCAGGUUUUGGCCAUCAUGACAAUCCCGAAAACAUGAUCCAAGUCGACUGAAGAAUUUUUCAAGAAGGUGGAUGCCCAGUUACAGAGUUACAUUACGGCAAUGGUUAAAAAUUUGAUGAAUUAGACAAAAAAUGGAUAUCCUAAUGGAGAAAUUGAUUCCCAGUCACGAUGAAAUUUUGGGCAAUGCACCAAGAGAUCAGCAGCAGAUAGAUUUCUCAGGUAAUAGAUCAACAAGGAGUGAGUUUGACGAUUAUAGUAGAAAUCAAGGGAAUAACUAGCCUCGCUUUGAGUUUCCUUUCUUUGAUGGGUUUGACCCUUGUUCGUGGCUGAGGAGGGCGGAUAGAUAUUUCCAGUAUAAUCGCCAUGGAUUUUAUUGAAGGCCUACCCUCUUCGGGACAGCGAAAUGCCAUAUUAGUGGUGGUGCACAAACUAACUAAGUAUGAACAUUUCCUACCAUUGAAACACUCUUUUUCAGCUCAGGAAGGGGCUACAUUAUUCCUUAACGAAAUUUACAGACUUCAUGGGUUGCCUAGCACUAUUAUAUCGGGAUUUGGUGUUUACAAGCCAUUUUUGGCAGCAUCUGUUCAAAUUUAUGUGUACUAAGUUGACCAUGUCAACCUCCUACCACCCACAGACGGGUGGUUAAAUGGAAAUAUUAAAUCGCUGCUUAGAAUCUUAUCUCCGAGCCAUGGUCUUUACUAAUCCUAAGUAGUGGCUCAAGUGGUUACCAUUAGCGGAGUGGUGGUCUAACACCAACCACCACAGUUACAUCAACACCACUCUCUUUCAAUUAAGCUCUUUACAAAUAUGCUCCACCCCAGGUGCCUAUGGGUUCCCUACGUCACUUUAUUUGUACCCCAGUUGGCCUAUGUUUGGCUGAGAGGCAACAACAAUUAUAACACUUAAAGGACAAUAUAGUGCAAGCGCAGGCAAGAGUGAAGUUUUUCACAGAUAGACAUCGAUCAGAUAGAACACUAUAGGUUGGUGACAUGGCCUACUUGAAACUACAACCUUAUCAACAGAACUCCGUUGAGCUAAGACAAAACUUGAAGCUUAGUGCACGUUACUAUGGGCCUUAUAAAAUUCUUGAGAAGAUAGGUGCAGUAGCGUACCUCAUGGAUCUUCCCUCGGGAUAUCUGAUCCAUCCCAUCUUUUAUGUUUCAAAGUUAAAGAAACUGGUAGGGUCCAAUCUGGUAGCUCAACAACAACCUCCUGCCUGCGGUUCAGAUGGUUGAAUACUUGUGCAACCGGUGGCUAUACUCCAGAGAAAACUAUUUAAGUUGAACAACGUCGUUAGGGUGAAGGUCUUGGUAUAAUGGGCGAAUUUAGGACCAGAUUCAACUACUUGGAAGGAUUGGGGUUACAUUUCAAGUUGUUUUCCAGAGUUUGUCGACCAGCUCCGACCUUGAGGACAAGGUCGAUUUGUGCACGGCGGGUUUGUAAGGAAUGAAAUAUUUGUAAAGAGUGUGGAGAAUUGGGAAAGUAAAAUGAAUUCAUAACCAUAUAAGUGAUUCCAAAAGGGGUGUCGUGGACGGCGG